RNAcentral lists this ribosomal RNA (390 nucleotides) under uncultured bacterium. RNAcentral's name for it is "bacterial SSU rRNA". It matches the Rfam family "Bacterial small subunit ribosomal RNA", at positions 28 to 419 of the family's 1533-position model. The record is from RNAcentral.
GACGAACGCUGGCGGCGUGCUUAACACAUGCAAGUCGAGCGGUAAGGCCCUUUCGGGGGUACACGAGCGGCGAACGGGUGAGUAACACGUGGGUGACCUGCCCUCAGCUCUGGGAUAAGCCUGGGAAACUGGGUCUAAUACCGGAUAUGACUCCAUGACGCAUGUUGUGGGGUGGAAAGCCUUGUGCGGCUGAGGAUGGGCCCGCGGCCUAUCAGCUUGUUAGUGGGGNGAUGGCCUACCAAGGCGACGACGGGUAGCCGGCCUGAGAGGGCGACCGGCCACACUGGGACUGAGACACGGCCCAGACUCCUACGGGAGGCAGCAGUGGGGAAUCUUGCGCAAUGGGCGAAAGCCUGACGCAGCGACGCCGCGUGAGGGAUGACGGCCUGG